UUGUGUUCUGAUUCUUUCUCAGCAACUUUCUAAAGCUGAGAGUAAGUCCAGAGUCCUCGAAACUGAGCUCCAUUACACAAGAGAGGCUCUGAAAGAAAAGGCUUUGGUUUUUGAACACGUGCAAAGUGAGCUAAAGCAAAAACAGAGUCAAAUGAAGGACAUUGAAAAAAUGUACCAAAGUGAAUACAAUACAAUGGAAAAAUGCAUAGAAAAGCAGGAAAGAUUUUGUCAACUAAAAAAACAAAAUAUGUUGCUUCAACAGCAACUGGAUGAUGCUCGCAACCAAGCUGACAAUCAAGAAAAAGCAAUACUUAAUAUUCAAGCCAGAUGUGAUGCUAGAGUACAAAACCUUCAAGCUGAGUGCAGAAAGCGAUGUGUUUUACUAGAAGAAGACAAUAAAAGGUUGGUCAAUGAAUUGAAUCAUUUGAAAGAAAAAGAACGCCAAUAUGAAAAAGAGAAAGCAGAAAGAGAAGUAGCUGUGAGACAGCUUCAACAAAAACGAGAUGAUGUCUUAAACAAAUAAUCAGCAACAAAAGCUUUGCUGGAUGCUUCAUCGCGUCACUGCAUCUAUUUAGAAAAUGAGAUGCAGGAUUCAAGGAAGAAAUUAGACCAGAUGAGAAGUCAAUUUCAAGAAAUACAGGAUCAACUUUUACAGCUACUAUAAGAUGUACUAAGGAGAUGGAAGGCGACGUACAAAAGUAAAAUUUGAAGCAGCACACAAAAUAACUUGAGUAUUUAUAAAGCAAAAGAGCACUGUAGUUUGAAAAUUGUAUCAGUUAUGAUAAUAAGUAUAUCUUUGUGAAGCCAAAAAAGUUUCAUUUGUGAGCUAUAUUGAAAUACAUCAUUUUUCUCCAUUAUUCCUAAAUUUUGCAUAUUAUCAACAAAACACAGGUAGAAAAAUGUCACAGUAGGCCAAUCAUCUACUUUUGCGAUUGCUAAGAAUUUGUGUAAUUAUACCUUCAGAAGUUUGUUUAGAAUUUACAUGAUUUUAAAAAAAUUAUGUGUGAGAGUAAUUAUUUCAAAAUGCACAUUUUAGGCUUGAAGUAGAAAAUGCCAUGAUGAGAAAAACUAUUAAAAAACAGGAUGACCAAAUUGAGAGGCUUGAGAAAAUCCUGCAGCGUUCAAGUUUGAUGCUGCAGGUGUUCAAGAGCUAGAUGAAGGUAUG
This 1165-nucleotide small RNA is filed under the name Pongo abelii (Sumatran orangutan). Its description in RNAcentral is "retained intron". The record is from RNAcentral. Lineage: Eukaryota; Metazoa; Chordata; Mammalia; Primates; Hominidae.